UUCCGAGAAAAGUCGGGAACUGCCGUGAAGCCUUCUAGUCGCUGAGGGUGAUGCCUCUGACCGUGAUCCUUCCGCAAGUGAAACUUAUCGAAGCCUUUGCAGCCUCGCAAGAGGUAGCCCAGCGACAGUAAAUAAUUUGGGACUCAUGCAAGUCACCGACCCUGCUCGGGGCGACACGAUCGAAUUGACGGGGACACCCUAAAGCCUGCAACACGAACCAUCCAUGGAAACAUAGGGUGGGGCCCAUGCUAACCACAUGGGAGGUCGUAAGAGAGUGCAGCGAUGAACCCGGCGCCCGCCGGGGGAAAUGGGCAAUCCGCAGCGAAGACCCUACGGUGCUCUGCAUACGGGUAACGUUCACAGACUAGGUGGUUGUGGGUGGCAUCGCGGUGCUGCUUAAGAUAUAGUCGGGCUCCACGGGAAACCGUGGGGAUGAUUCACUUGCGAGUCGCGUGUCGGCUCGAGAAUGGAACCGUUCCGUAGGUGAACCUGCGGAAGGAUCAUUA
This 506-nucleotide ribosomal RNA is filed under the name Collophorina rubra. Its description in RNAcentral is "partial 18S ribosomal RNA". The stretch from base 120 to 431 matches the Rfam family "Group I catalytic intron". From Rfam's summary of the family: Group I catalytic introns are large self-splicing ribozymes. They catalyse their own excision from mRNA, tRNA and rRNA precursors in a wide range of organisms. The core secondary structure consists of 9 paired regions (P1-P9). Lineage: Eukaryota; Fungi; Ascomycota; Leotiomycetes; Phacidiales. The record is from RNAcentral.